RNAcentral lists this ribosomal RNA (402 nucleotides) under Verrucomicrobiota bacterium. Its description in RNAcentral is "Verrucomicrobia bacterium partial 16S ribosomal RNA". It matches the Rfam family "Bacterial small subunit ribosomal RNA", at positions 355 to 776 of the family's 1533-position model. The record is from RNAcentral. Lineage: Bacteria; Pseudomonadati; Verrucomicrobiota.
UGGGGAAUUUUGCACAAUGGGGGAAACCCUGAUGCAGCGACGCCGCGUGAUUUAGAAGGCCUUCGGGUUGUAAAAAUCUUUUGUAUGGGAAGAAAAUGACAGUACUAUACGAAUAAGGAUCGGCUAAUUACGUGCCAGCAGCCGCGGUAAUACGUAAGGUCCGAGCGUUGUCCGGAAUCAUUGGGCGUAAAGGGUACGUAGGCGGAUAAGCAAGUUAGAAGUGAAAUCCUAUAGCUAAACUAUAGUAAGCUUUUAAAACUGCUCAUCUUGAGGUAUGGAAGGGAAAGUGGAAUUCCUAGUGUAGCGGUGAAAUGCGCAGAUAUUAGGAGGAAUACCGGUGGCGAAGGCGACUUUCUGGCCAUGAACUGACGCUGAGGUACGAAAGCGUGGGUAGCAAACAGG